This 497-nucleotide ribosomal RNA is filed under the name uncultured bacterium. RNAcentral describes it as "partial 16S ribosomal RNA". It matches the Rfam family "Bacterial small subunit ribosomal RNA", at positions 28 to 507 of the family's 1533-position model. The record is from RNAcentral.
GAUGAACGCUGGCGGCGUGCCUAAUACAUGCAAGUCGAACGCUGAAGCUUGGUGCUUGCACCGAGCGGAUGAGUUGCGAACGGGUGAGUAACGCGUAGGUAACCUGCCUGGUAGCGGGGGAUAACUAUUGGAAACGAUAGCUAAUACCGCAUAACAGUAGAUAUUGCAUGAUAUCUGCUUGAAAGGUGCAAAUGCAUCACUACCAGAUGGACCUGCGUUGUAUUAGCUAGUUGGUGAGGUAACGGCUCACCAAGGCGACGAUACAUAGCCGACCUGAGAGGGUGAUCGGCCACACUGGGACUGAGACACGGCCCAGACUCCUACGGGAGGCAGCAGUAGGGAAUCUUCGGCAAUGGGGGGAACCCUGACCGAGCAACGCCGCGUGAGUGAAGAAGGGUGUCGGAUCGUAAAGCUCUGUUGUAAGAGAAGAACGAGUGUGAGAGUGGAAAGUUCACACUGUGACGGUAGCUUACCAGAAAGGGACGGCUAACUACGUG